Molecule: ribosomal RNA, 868 nt
Filed under: human gut metagenome
Description: bacterial SSU rRNA
Rfam family: Bacterial small subunit ribosomal RNA
Source: RNAcentral
GAGUUUGAUCCUGGCUCAGGAUGAACGCUGGCGGCGUGCCUAAUACAUGCAAGUCGAACGCUUCACUUCGGUGAAGAGUGGCGAACGGGUGAGUAAUACAUAAGUAACCUGGCAUCUACAGGGGGAUAACUGAUGGAAACGUCAGCUAAGACCGCAUAGGUGUAGAGAUCGCAUGAACUCUAUAUGAAAAGUGCUACGGGACUGGUAGAUGAUGGACUUAUGGCGCAUUAGCUUGUUGGUAGGGUAACGGCCUACCAAGGCGACGAUGCGUAGCCGACCUGAGAGGGUGACCGGCCACACUGGGACUGAGACACGGCCCAGACUCCUACGGGAGGCAGCAGUAGGGAAUUUUCGGCAAUGGGGGAAACCCUGACCGAGCAACGCCGCGUGAAGGAAGAAGUAAUUCGUUAUGUAAACUUCUGUCAUAGAGGAAGAACGGUGGAUAUAGGGAAUGAUAUCCAAGUGACGGUACUCUAUAAGAAAGCCACGGCUAACUACGUGCCAGCAGCCGCGGUAAUACGUAGGUGGCGAGCGUUAUCCGGAAUUAUUGGGCGUAAAGAGGGAGCAGGCGGCACUAAGGGUCUGUGGUGAAAGAUCGAAGCUUAACUUCGGUAAGCCAUGGAAACCGUAGAGCUAGAGUGUGUGAGAGGAUCGUGGAAUUCCAUGUGUAGCGGUGAAAUGCGUAGAUAUAUGGAGGAACACCAGUGGCGAAGGCGACGAUCUGGCGCAUAACUGACGCUCAGUCCCGAAAGCGUGGGGAGCAAAUAGGAUUAGAUACCCUAGUAGUCCACGCCGUAAACGAUGAGUACUAAGUGUUGGGUGUCAAAGCUCAGUGCUGCAGUUAACGCAAUAAGUACUCCGCCUGAGU